GACGAACGCUGGCGGCGUGCUUAACACAUGCAAGUCGAGCGGUAAGGCCCUUUCGGGGGUACACGAGCGGCGAACGGGUGAGUAACACGUGGGUGACCUGCCCUUAGCUCUGGGAUAAGCCUGGGAAACUGGGUCUAAUACCGGAUAUGACUCCAUGACGCAUGUUGUGGGUGGAAAGCCUUGUGCGGCUAGGGAUGGGCCCGCGGCCUAUCAGCUUGUUGGUGGGUNAUGGCCUACCAAGGCGACGACGGGUAGCCGGCCUGAGAGGGCGACCGGCCACACUGGGACUGAGACACGGCCCAGACUCCUACGGGAGGCAGCAGUGGGGAAUCUUGCGCAAUGGGCGAAAGCCUGACGCAGCGACGCCGCGUGGGGAUGACGGCCU
RNAcentral lists this ribosomal RNA (385 nucleotides) under uncultured bacterium. RNAcentral describes it as "bacterial SSU rRNA". It matches the Rfam family "Bacterial small subunit ribosomal RNA", at positions 28 to 417 of the family's 1533-position model. The record is from RNAcentral.